CCUACGGGAGGCUGCAGUGGGGAAUAUUGCACAAUGGGCGCAAGCCUGAUGCAGCCAUGCCGCGUGUGUGAAGAAGGCCUUCGGGUUGUAAAGCACUUUCAGCGGGGAGGAAGGCGUUAAGGUUAAUAACCUUGGCGAUUGACGUUACCCGCAGAAGAAGCACCGGCUAACUCCGUGCCAGCAGCCGCGGUCAUACGGAGGGUGCAAGCGUUAAUCGGAAUUACUGGGCGUAAAGCGCACGCAGGCGGUCUGUCAAGUCGGAUGUGAAAUCCCCGGGCUCAACCUGGGAACUGCAUUCGAAACUGGCAGGCUAGAGUCUUGUAGAGGGGGGUAGAAUUCCAGGUGUAGCGGUGAAAUGCGUAGAGAUCUGGAGGAAUACCGGUGGCGAAGGCGGCCCCCUGGACAAAGACUGACGCUCAGGUGCGAAAGCGUGGGGAGCAAACAGGAUUAGAUACCCGGGUAGUC
RNAcentral lists this ribosomal RNA (465 nucleotides) under uncultured Klebsiella sp. RNAcentral describes it as "bacterial SSU rRNA". It matches the Rfam family "Bacterial small subunit ribosomal RNA", at positions 338 to 795 of the family's 1533-position model. Lineage: Bacteria; Pseudomonadati; Pseudomonadota; Gammaproteobacteria; Enterobacterales; Enterobacteriaceae. The record is from RNAcentral.